This 299-nucleotide ribosomal RNA is filed under the name uncultured Gammaproteobacteria bacterium. RNAcentral describes it as "partial 16S ribosomal RNA". It matches the Rfam family "Bacterial small subunit ribosomal RNA", at positions 641 to 916 of the family's 1533-position model. Lineage: Bacteria; Pseudomonadati; Pseudomonadota; Gammaproteobacteria. The record is from RNAcentral.
CUAGAGUAUGGUAGAGGGUAAGUGGAAUUUCCAGGUUGUAGCAGGUGAAAUGCGUAGAUUAUCGGAGAGGAACACCCAGUGGCGAAGGCGAGCUUCCCGUGGGCUCAAUACGGGACGCUGAGGUGCGAAAGCGUGGGGAGCAAACAGGAUUUAGAUACCCCUGGGUAGUCCACGCCGUAGAUACGAUGAGAACUAGAUGUCGGGAGGAUCUCGCCUUUCGGUGUCAGCACGCUAACGCGUUAAGUUGGUCCGCCUGGGGAGUACGCCGGCAACGGGUAAAACUCAAAGGAUAUUGACGG